UACGGAGGGUGCAAGCGUUGUUCGGAAUCAUUGGGCGUAAAGCGCGUGUAGGCGGCUUGGCAAGUCAGUUGUGAAAGCCCGGGGCCCAACCCCGGAACUGCAUCUGAAACUGCCUGGCUAGAGUCCCGGAGAGGAAGGCAGAAUUCCCGGUGUAGGGGUGAAAUCCGUAGAUAUCAGGAGGAACACCAGUGGCGAAGGCGGCUUUCUGGACGGUAACUGACGCUGAGGCGCGAAAGCGUGGGGAGCAAACAGG
RNAcentral lists this ribosomal RNA (253 nucleotides) under uncultured bacterium. Its description in RNAcentral is "partial 16S ribosomal RNA". It matches the Rfam family "Bacterial small subunit ribosomal RNA", at positions 524 to 776 of the family's 1533-position model. The record is from RNAcentral.